AGGUCGAGGCCUGAUGAGUGAGGCCAGAAGCCGGGAAGCACCGCAGAAGUAGAAGCCGGGGAGCCACAGCCUACGUUCUCGGAAAAAGCAGGCACUGGAAGGGAGGCCAUUGAGCCCGGCACUAGCCGGUGUGGCUCCCUGCUGUGGUCUGGAGGAAGCAGCGGCCUGGGUUGGUGGGAUUGGAAUGAAGGGCUUCUGGUUUGCAGGGAUCAAGGGUCCAGGGUCCCCGAGGUUGGGUCAGGAGCCUCAAGGGGAUAACUGAGGCUUGGGAGGGAGACAGGGCGAGAUAGAGACUGGCCCCUGUCCGGGAAGAAGCGUCCGGGUAGCUGGCAGGAGAUAGCAUUUAGGCAGAAACCAGGCUGGGGGCAGCUUGGGUAGGGCUCCCCGCAGAUCAGAGGACGGCCUGGAACAGGUCCCAGGGCCAGGCCCCAGGCAGGGGCAGCCAGCCUGAGGAGGGUGGCUGGUUAGGUGGCACUCACACCUAGAUGGGCUGUGAAGAUCAUAGACCUGUCCCAUAGUAAUGGAGACCCCUGUAGCGCAUUUCACCCUCCACUGCAGCAGCUGGAAGGAGUGUGAGGAGGGUCCAGGGA
RNAcentral lists this long non-coding RNA (590 nucleotides) under Homo sapiens (human). RNAcentral describes it as "non-protein coding lnc-FAM83E-2:2". The record is from RNAcentral. Lineage: Eukaryota; Metazoa; Chordata; Mammalia; Primates; Hominidae.